Molecule: ribosomal RNA, 586 nt
Filed under: unidentified microorganism
Description: bacterial SSU rRNA
Rfam family: Bacterial small subunit ribosomal RNA
Source: RNAcentral
UGGGUAAUCUGCCCUGCACUUCGGGAUAAGCCUGGGAAACCGGGUCUAAUACCGGAUAUGAGCUCCUGCCGCAUGGUGGGGGUUGGAAAGUUUUUCGGUGCAGGAUGAGUCCGCGGCCUAUCAGCUUGUUGGUGGGGUAAUGGCCUACCAAGGCGACGACGGGUAGCCGGCCUGAGAGGGUGAUCGGCCACACUGGGACUGAGACACGGCCCAGACUCCUACGGGAGGCAGCAGUGGGGAAUAUUGCACAAUGGGCGAAAGCCUGAUGCAGCGACGCCGCGUGGGGGAUGACGGUCUUCGGAUUGUAAACUCCUUUCAGUAGGGACGAAGCGAAAGUGACGGUACCUGCAGAAGAAGCACCGGCCAACUACGUGCCAGCAGCCGCGGUAAUACGUAGGGUGCAAGCGUUGUCCGGAAUUACUGGGCGUAAAGAGCUCGUAGGCGGUUUGUCACGUCGUCUGUGAAAUCCUCCAGCUCAACUGGGGGCGUGCAGGCGAUACGGGCAGACUUGAGUACUACAGGGGAGACUGGAAUUCCUGGUGUAGCGGUGAAAUGCGCAGAUAUCAGGAGGAACACCGGUGGCGAA